UUAUUGAUUAUUGAAGAAAGGGUACAACCAAAAAUGUCUAGAUAUAGACAAACAGAAAAGAGAAAACUGAUAAAAUGCUAAGCAAAAAAGAAGACGUUGAACCGAUGAGGGAAGGUGCUAAACGGAAGGAAAACUCGCUGAAUGAAAGAACAGCAUAGUAGAUAUAUUACGACUUCGUCACCCCCUCAAGCUGGAAAUAGAUAUUUUUCAUUCCCAGGUAGCGGUAGGUUAAUGGAGGUAAAGGUUUGGUGAAGAUAUCAACAGUCUGUUCAAUAGAAGAAAUUGGAGAAGUUUGAGAAGUCCCUUUUGAUUUUCCUCACAGAUGAUAAGGCAAUGAAUGUUGAUAUGUUUUGUAUGUUCG
RNAcentral lists this long non-coding RNA (361 nucleotides) under Vigna radiata. Its description in RNAcentral is "long non-coding RNA (VRAD_LNC003722)". The record is from RNAcentral. Lineage: Eukaryota; Viridiplantae; Streptophyta; Magnoliopsida; Fabales; Fabaceae.